Long non-coding RNA from Cyprinodon tularosa, 702 nucleotides. RefSeq lists it as uncharacterized. The transcript has 2 exons. Lineage: Eukaryota; Metazoa; Chordata; Actinopteri; Cyprinodontiformes; Cyprinodontidae. The record is from RefSeq and is a predicted model, not a curated record.
CUGUCAUGGUCAAGACAUUGACCUGCCAGACCUCUCGGAUACAACUGUAGCUGUUCUCACUGUCUCGAAUGAUACAGUCUCCCUUGUGAAGUUUGGUCCUGCAAUACAUUCUAUAGUUCUUGAGGGAGAGAUUGUGAAAGUUGUAAUGGGUUUGGAUGACCUGAAGCGGUUACCUCCGAGACUGCUUAGCCUUAAAAAUUAUCUGAUGAUGGAUGAGUAAGCAGUCUGCUUAAAAUAUGUCGUUGUUACUACCAGCAUGGUGAUACUCAAGCAACCAUUUCGUCUUUGUUUUUUUGUUUUCGCUUUUUUAUUUAUGUUGGCCUAUUAUUGUUGGCCUAUUAUUUUUGGAUCGGCCUAUUAUGUUGGCCAAUUUUUCGUUUUUUGUGGAUACAGAGAAGCCGAUGUUUCAGAAGGCAGCUUUGAACAGACCUGCAGAUUUGUAAUUGUUUUUGACUUGAUCAUUUCAGUGUUUGGCUUGAGGUCCCAGAGUUUCGUACGGAAAUGCUUUGGUCUACCUUGAAGUCACUGGGAACUAAAAGAUCUUUUACGGUUUUAUUUGCUGAAUAAAUAAAACCGUAUUUAUUCAGCAUUUUGAUUGAAAAUGUGGUUGUUAUUUAUUUUAUUUUCUGUAUUAACCCCAUUGCUGGGGACAUUGUUCUGAAUUCUAAUGGAAUUCAUAAAUAAAUGGAAUCUGCAGUAAAA